This 320-nucleotide ribosomal RNA is filed under the name uncultured eukaryote. Its description in RNAcentral is "partial 18S ribosomal RNA". It matches the Rfam family "Eukaryotic small subunit ribosomal RNA", at positions 1470 to 1796 of the family's 1831-position model. The record is from RNAcentral.
CCCCUAGAUGUUCUGGGCCGCACGCGCGCUACACUGAACAGUUCAACAAGUCUUAACCUUGGCCGAUAGGUCUGGGUAAUCUUUGAACGCUGUUCGUGAUUGGGAUAGACCUUUGCAAUUAUGGGUCUUCAACGAGGAAUUCCUAGUAAACGCAAGUCAUCAGCUUGAAUUGAUUACGUCCCUGCCCUUUGUACACACCGCCCGUCGCACCUACCGAUUGAAUGGUCCGGUGAAAUCUCGGGACGGCGGCUUGGUCGCUUGCGUCCGACUGCUGAAACUUGAUUAAACCAUAUCAUUUAGAGGAAGGUGAAGUCGUAACA